Molecule: small nuclear RNA, 319 nt
Filed under: Dasypus novemcinctus (nine-banded armadillo)
Lineage: Eukaryota; Metazoa; Chordata; Mammalia; Cingulata; Dasypodidae
Description: 7SK RNA (ENSDNOG00000035505.1)
Rfam family: 7SK RNA
About the family: 7SK was discovered as an abundant small nuclear RNA in the mid-70s but a possible function has only recently been suggested. Two independent studies have found that 7SK RNA binds the CDK9/cyclin T complex (known as elongation factor P-TEFb).
Source: RNAcentral
GGAUGUGAGGGCCAUCCGGCUGCAACAUCUGUCAUCCCAUUGAUGGUCAGGGUUGAUUCAGCUGAUCUGGCUGGCUUGGUGGGUGUCCUCUUUCUCCCACACGGCUCCACGUGAGUCCUACGUGCAGGUGCACUAGAUGGAGCAGGACGGGCUUCCCCGCUGGAGGAGGACGUUCUUCCACCAAGGGCAUGCGGUAGUGGUGCUCCCCUGUUAGAAUCCCCAGCUAGCUCUCAGGGUCCAUUUGUAAGGGAAUGUAGGGUAGUCAAGCUUCAAAGACUCCAGAUACAUCUAAAAGAGGCUGCAUAUGGCCGUCUACCUU